Molecule: long non-coding RNA, 1041 nt
Organism: Rosa rugosa (rugosa rose)
Lineage: Eukaryota; Viridiplantae; Streptophyta; Magnoliopsida; Rosales; Rosaceae
Exons: 5
Source: RefSeq, a predicted model, not a curated record
UUUAGGUUUCUCUCUAUAUCCUUCAAAAAGAAGUAUUUUCUCCUCUUCACCGACUCCGAUUUCCAAACCUCUUCGUUCUCCAUCUCUCUGGCGGUGCUGGCCGCCGUGACGAGGAGGAGAAAUAAAUCCCAGUGACCAAGCUCGGUCGUCACGUCAAGGACGGUAAGAUCUCGUCUCUGGGGCAGAUUUACCUCCACUCGCUUCCAAUCAAGGAGCACCAGAUCAUCGACACUCUCUACGCUGGUCUGCAGGAUGAGGUCAUGAAGAUCAUGCCGGUUCAGAAGCAGACCCGUGCCGGUCAGAGGUCUCGAUUCAAGGCCUUUGUCGUCGUCAUCGACAGCAAUGACCACGUCGGACUCAGCGUCAAGUGCAGCAAGGAGGUUGCUACUGCUAUUCGUGGAGCCAUUAUUCUGGCUAAGCUUUCGGUGAUUUAAGGUUAAGCAAUCAUAUCUUGUUGCACCACAUGACUUGCAUUUUCAAAUAGUUCGCCAUCUUUUGAAGGAGCAUAUCUGGCAAUCAACUGAUUAUAAGGUUAUUAUUUUCUGUACAACUGGAAUGGUAACAUCCCUUCUCUACCUUUUUCUCUGUGAAAUGAAAAUGAAUGUCAGGAAGAUACAUUCUAGAAAGCCUCAACUGUAUUGAACUCGUAUCUCUGAGGAAUUCAAGGAAUCAAAGCAAUUGAUUCUUGUUACCUCUGAUGCAUCAGCACCUGGAAUGAACUAUCCUGAUGUUACAUUGGUCAUUCAGAGGGUGUAAAAGCUGGAGCUAAGGCAGCUGUUAUUGCAAGCAUUGCCACUGGAAUUCCAACUGCUACUUUUGAGUGUCCUGAAAACCUAUGGUUUCUUGACACCUGAAUUCUGGAGGGAGACUCGCUUCACAAAGAUGUUUUAAGGAUUUGGUGUAAUCUUCGCUUGCAUGGAUGUUUUUAUAUAGGUUGUAUAUAUUCUUAUAAGGAUGUUGUUAUGCCCUUUUUUUCUUCAAUUGUUUAUGUACCUUGAGUAUCAAUAUUAAUGAGAAUGAUAUUCUCUUCAUCUUUCUUUA